ACACGACUACAUUAGAUACCCCGGUAGUCCUAGCCGUAAACGAUACUCGCUAGGUGUCGGCCACGGUGCGACCGUUGUCGGUGCCGUAGGGAAGCCGUGAAGCGAGCCACCUGGGAAGUACGGCCGCAAGGCUGAAACUUAAAGGAAUUGGCGGGGGAGCACCACAACGGGUGGAGCUUGCGGUUUAAUUGGAUUCAACGCCGGACAACUCACCAGGAGCGACGGUUACAUGAAGGCCAGGCUGAUGACCUUGCCUGAUUUUCCG
This 265-nucleotide ribosomal RNA is filed under the name uncultured archaeon. RNAcentral's name for it is "partial 16S ribosomal RNA". It matches the Rfam family "Archaeal small subunit ribosomal RNA", at positions 717 to 982 of the family's 1478-position model. The record is from RNAcentral.